Molecule: long non-coding RNA, 601 nt
Filed under: Olea europaea (common olive)
Lineage: Eukaryota; Viridiplantae; Streptophyta; Magnoliopsida; Lamiales; Oleaceae
Description: long non-coding RNA (OEUR_LNC011001)
Source: RNAcentral
GAAAGUGAGCUUGACUCUCCAAACUCUCUAAAUUAAAAUGUUAAUUUAAAGAGUAUCUUGGAGUGUGAUUUUAACGGUCAACUCUUUAAAAUAAAGUGCAUAUAUGUUUAAAUAGUUUUUUGGAGAUGCUUUAAGUGUAACAAGUAAACAUCUAAGGGUAGAUAGUGUAAAGCUGCUGCCAACGGCUCUAGCAAUUCCAAGAGUACCACUUCCUUCCCGUUUUCUACCUUCUUUUAAACCUCCAACUUCUUUGGUGGUUGUACUACCAACGUUGCUGCCUACGCAAUCCUUUUGAACAAAGUUUCAAUAGACUUUCUACCGGAAACGGAUACUCACUUUCUACUGUUGAAGACGUAAUUCCACAAGUUACCAUUGGAUGCAUGACUCCAUAUUGGACUGGCAGCACUAGAAAUUUAGGAUGUGUUUGGUUUGCGUUUUCAUUUGCCGUUUUCAGUUUUUAAUUCAUUUUUAGUUUUCUGCUUUAAUAGACUAUUUUCGAAUUUCAGAAAAUGUAUUUGGUUUGUCAUUUUUGAAAAAUGGUUUCUCAAAAAAGAAAAAUAGAAAAUUCGUUUGGCUUAAAAUUUUUAGAAAUUGUUUCAUG